This 461-nucleotide long non-coding RNA is filed under the name Monodelphis domestica (gray short-tailed opossum). RNAcentral's name for it is "lncRNA (ENSMODG00000049136.1)". Lineage: Eukaryota; Metazoa; Chordata; Mammalia; Didelphimorphia; Didelphidae. The record is from RNAcentral.
GUUUUAUGUUUUUGUGUGUUUUCUUUUACAACAUGACUAAUAUGGAAAUGUAUUUGGCAUGACCUCACAUAUACAAUCAAAAUCAAGAUUCUUAAUUUCUGAAGGACUGAAUCACCAGAUGACUGAAGUUAUAGAAGAUGUGGUGAACCUCAUUGUAGAAGGAUUUGUCUGAUCCAGUUUGCUCCCAUUCUAAUUGAAGUCAACAUAUAAAGAAGUAUAUGCAUAUAAAGUAGAGUGAAGAUAAUCCCUAAGAGUAAAGUGGCAUCAACAAAGAGGAAUCAGACAGUUCUUCAGAAUGUGAAAUUUGAACUGAGUAACAAGAGAAGAAUAUAAACACUUAAUGGUUGAGGUGAGGAAGGAGAAAAUUCUAGAUGUGGGGAAUAGUAAGAACAAAGGAAUGGAAAUGAGAAAUGAAGUACACUGAGUGAACCCUAAUUGAAUUGAGACUUGAACCACUCAUU